CCCUUAGAUGUUCUGGGCCGCACGCGCGCUACACUGAUGCAUUCAACGAGCCUAUCCUUGACCGACAGGUCCGGGUAAUCUUUGAAUCUGCAUCGUGACGGGGAUAGAUUAUUGUAAUUAUUAAUCUUCAACGAGGAAUGCCUAGUAGGCGCAAGUCAUCAGCUUGCGUCGAUUACGUCCCUGCCCUUUGUACACACCGCCCGUCGCUCCUACCGAUUGGGUGUGCUGGUGAAAUGUUCGGAUCGGCCGUUUGUCGCGGUUUCCGCGGCUCGUGGCUGAGAAGUUCAUUAAACCCUCCCACCGAGAGGAAGGAGAAGUCGUAACA
RNAcentral lists this ribosomal RNA (325 nucleotides) under uncultured eukaryote. Its description in RNAcentral is "partial 18S ribosomal RNA". It matches the Rfam family "Eukaryotic small subunit ribosomal RNA", at positions 1470 to 1796 of the family's 1831-position model. The record is from RNAcentral.